This 107-nucleotide ribosomal RNA is filed under the name Alaria esculenta (Atlantic wakame). Its description in RNAcentral is "partial small subunit ribosomal RNA". It matches the Rfam family "Eukaryotic small subunit ribosomal RNA", at positions 1326 to 1451 of the family's 1831-position model. The record is from RNAcentral. RNAcentral also lists the same sequence under 4 other names. Lineage: Eukaryota; Phaeophyceae; Laminariales; Alariaceae.
CGUUAACGAACGAGACCCCCGCCUGCUAAAUAGUGUGGCUUACGCUUCUGUGUAGGUGCUCGCUUCUUAGAGGGACUUUCGGUGACUAACCGAAGGAAGUUGGGGGC